GUGGGGAAUCUUGCGCAAUGGGCGAAAGCCUGACGCAGCCAUGCCGCGUGGAUGAUGAAGGUCUUAGGAUUGUAAAAUCCUUUCACCGGUGAAGAUAAUGACUGUAGCCGGAGAAGAAGCCCCUGCUAACUUCGUGCCAGCAGCCGCGGUAAUACGAAGGGGGCUAGCGUUGCUCGGCUUUACUGGGCGUAAAGGGCGCGUAGGCGGACAUGUAAGUCAGGGGUGAAAUCCAGGGGCUCAACCUCGGAACUGCCUUUGAUACUGGGUGUCGUGAGUAUGAGAGAGGUGUGUGGAACUCCGGGUGUAGAGGUGAAAUUCGUAGAUAUUCGGAAGAACACCAGUGGCGAAGGCGACAUACUGGCUCAUUACUGACGCUGAGGCUCGAAAGCGUGGGGAGCAAACAGGAUUAGAUACCCCAGUAGUCC
Molecule: ribosomal RNA, 425 nt
Filed under: uncultured bacterium
Lineage: Bacteria
Description: partial 16S ribosomal RNA
Rfam family: Bacterial small subunit ribosomal RNA
Source: RNAcentral